Molecule: ribosomal RNA, 1634 nt
Filed under: Vibrio cholerae
Lineage: Bacteria; Pseudomonadati; Pseudomonadota; Gammaproteobacteria; Vibrionales; Vibrionaceae
Description: partial 23S ribosomal RNA
Rfam family: Bacterial large subunit ribosomal RNA
Source: RNAcentral
UAAGCCGUUGAAGGUGAAUCGUAAGGUUUGCUGGAGGUAUCAGAAGUGCGAAUGCUGACAUGAGUAACGACAAAGGGGGUGAAAAACCUCCUCGCCGGAAGACCAAGGGUUCCUGUCCAACGUUAAUCGGGGCAGGGUGAGUCGACCCCUAAGGUGAGGCCGAAAGGCGUAAUCGAUGGGAAACGGGUUAAUAUUCCCGUACUUCUGACUAUUGCGAUGGGGGGACGGAGAAGGCUAGGUGGGCCAGGCGACGGUUGUCCUGGUUCAAGUGCGUAGGCUUGAGAGUUAGGUAAAUCCGGCUCUCUCUAAGGCUGAGACACGACGUCGAGCUGCUACGGCAGUGAAGUCAUUGAUGCCAUGCUUCCAGGAAAAGCCUCUAAGCUUCAGAUAGUCAGGAAUCGUACCCCAAACCGACACAGGUGGUCGGGUAGAGAAUACCAAGGCGCUUGAGAGAACUCGGGUGAAGGAACUAGGCAAAAUGGUACCGUAACUUCGGGAGAAGGUACGCUCUUGAUGGUGAAGUCCCUCGCGGAUGGAGCUGACGAGAGUCGCAGAUACCAGGUGGCUGCAACUGUUUAUUAAAAACACAGCACUGUGCAAAAUCGCAAGAUGACGUAUACGGUGUGACGCCUGCCCGGUGCCGGAAGGUUAAUUGAUGGGGUUAGCGCAAGCGAAGCUCUUGAUCGAAGCCCCGGUAAACGGCGGCCGUAACUAUAACGGUCCUAAGGUAGCGAAAUUCCUUGUCGGGUAAGUUCCGACCUGCACGAAUGGCGUAAUGAUGGCCACGCUGUCUCCACCCGAGACUCAGUGAAAUUGAAAUCGCUGUGAAGAUGCAGUGUACCCGCGGCUAGACGGAAAGACCCCGUGAACCUUUACUACAGCUUGGCACUGAACAUUGAACCUACAUGUGUAGGAUAGGUGGGAGGCUAUGAAGACGUGACGCCAGUUGCGUUGGAGCCGUCCUUGAAAUACCACCCUUGUAUGUUUGAUGUUCUAACUUAGACCCAUUAUCUGGGUUGAGGACAGUGCCUGGUGGGUAGUUUGACUGGGGCGGUCUCCUCCCAAAGAGUAACGGAGGAGCACGAAGGUGGGCUAAUCACGGUUGGACAUCGUGAGGUUAGUGCAAUGGCAUAAGCCCGCUUAACUGCGAGAAUGACGGUUCGAGCAGGUGCGAAAGCAGGUCAUAGUGAUCCGGUGGUUCUGUAUGGAAGGGCCAUCGCUCAACGGAUAAAAGGUACUCCGGGGAUAACAGGCUGAUACCGCCCAAGAGUUCAUAUCGACGGCGGUGUUUGGCACCUCGAUGUCGGCUCAUCACAUCCUGGGGCUGAAGUCGGUCCCAAGGGUAUGGCUGUUCGCCAUUUAAAGUGGUACGCGAGCUGGGUUUAGAACGUCGUGAGACAGUUCGGUCCCUAUCUGCCGUGGGCGUUGGAAGAUUGAAGGGGGCUGCUCCUAGUACGAGAGGACCGGAGUGGACGAACCUCUGGUGUUCGGGUUGUGUCGCCAGACGCAUUGCCCGGUAGCUAAGUUCGGAAUUGAUAAGCGCUGAAAGCAUCUAAGCGCGAAGCGAGCCCUGAGAUGAGUCUUCCCUGAUACUUUAAGUAUCCUAAAGGGUUGUUCGAGACUAGAACGUUGAU